RNAcentral lists this transfer RNA (75 nucleotides) under Alphaproteobacteria bacterium. RNAcentral's name for it is "tRNA-Val". It matches the Rfam family "tRNA". Rfam says of the family: Transfer RNA (tRNA) molecules are approximately 80 nucleotides in length. Lineage: Bacteria; Pseudomonadati; Pseudomonadota; Alphaproteobacteria. The record is from RNAcentral.
GGACACAUAGCUCAGCGGGAGAGCACACCCUUCACACGGGUGGGGUCGCAGGUUCAAUCCCUGCUGUGUCCACCA